Molecule: non-coding RNA, 18 nt
Filed under: Arabidopsis thaliana (thale cress)
Lineage: Eukaryota; Viridiplantae; Streptophyta; Magnoliopsida; Brassicales; Brassicaceae
Also listed under: 16 other names
Source: RNAcentral
GACCCCAGGUCAGGCGGG